This 253-nucleotide ribosomal RNA is filed under the name uncultured bacterium. RNAcentral's name for it is "partial 16S ribosomal RNA". It matches the Rfam family "Bacterial small subunit ribosomal RNA", at positions 524 to 776 of the family's 1533-position model. The record is from RNAcentral.
AACGUAGGAGGCGAGCGUUAUCCGGAUUUACUGGGCGUAAAGGGCAAGUAGGUGGUUAGGUGCGUGGGGUUUGAAAUCGUCUGGCUUAACUGGACGUGUGGGCCCCAAACGGCUUAACUUGAGGUAGGGAGAGGGAUGCGGAAUUCCUGGUGUAGUGGUGGAAUGCGUAGAGAUCAGGAGGAACACCCGUGGCGAAAGCGGCAUCCUGGCCCUGACCUGACACUGAGGUGCGAAAGCGUGGGGAGCAAACAGG